Molecule: transfer-messenger RNA, 335 nt
Filed under: Sneathiella chungangensis
Lineage: Bacteria; Pseudomonadati; Pseudomonadota; Alphaproteobacteria; Sneathiellales; Sneathiellaceae
Rfam family: Alphaproteobacteria transfer-messenger RNA
About the family: Bacterial tmRNA, also known as 10Sa RNA or SsrA, is named for its dual tRNA and mRNA-like properties. Its role is to liberate the mRNA from a stalled ribosome.
Source: RNAcentral
CCCCUUUCAAAACCCGUUAAAAAGAAUUAUAUUGAGAGUGUUGGGAAACCAACUAUGGCGAUAAACGUUGCAUGGAAUAACCGUUGCGGACCCGGGGGCGGUACCCGGCGCCUCCACCAUAAAGACAGUAGUCGCAAGACGUCGGCUGUCUUUAUGAUGGGGGCGAAAUAGGCUCGACGCGCGCAGUAAAGAUGUAAUUUUUGCCCGGCAUGAUACCACCGUAUAACGGGGUCAAAUCUAUAAAUGCUAACGAUAAUGACGAAGCAUUUGCCGUAGCUGCUUAAUUGCACUACACGGGGUUCGGAGGGGCACCUGGCAACAGAAGCCCCUUCACU